Molecule: ribosomal RNA, 165 nt
Filed under: uncultured bacterium
Lineage: Bacteria
Description: partial 16S rRNA
Rfam family: Bacterial small subunit ribosomal RNA
Source: RNAcentral
UAGGGAAUCUUCGGCAAUGGACGAAAGUCUGACCGAGCAACGCCGCGUGAGUGAAGAAGGUUUUCGGAUCGUAAAACUCUGUUGGUAGAGAAGAACGUUGGUGAGAGUGGAAGGCUCAUCAAGUGACGGUAACUACCCAGAAAGGGACGGCUAACUACGUACCAC